UACGUAGGGAGCAAGCGUUGUUCGGAUUUACUGGGCGUAAAGGGCGCGUAGGCGGUCUGUUAUGUCGGAUGUGAAAGCCCUUGGCUCAACUGAGGAAGUGCAUCCGAAACUGGCAGGCUAGAGUACGAAAGAGGAUCGCGGAAUUCCCGGUGUAGAGGUGAAAUUCGUAGAUAUCUGGAGGAACACCGGUGGCGAAGGCGACAUCCUGGACCAAUACUGACGCUGAGGAGCGAAAGCCAGGGGAGCAAACGGG
RNAcentral lists this ribosomal RNA (253 nucleotides) under uncultured prokaryote. RNAcentral's name for it is "partial 16S ribosomal RNA". It matches the Rfam family "Bacterial small subunit ribosomal RNA", at positions 524 to 776 of the family's 1533-position model. The record is from RNAcentral.